Molecule: ribosomal RNA, 573 nt
Filed under: uncultured bacterium
Lineage: Bacteria
Description: bacterial SSU rRNA
Rfam family: Bacterial small subunit ribosomal RNA
Source: RNAcentral
GGGCUCACCAAGGCUCGGAUGCGUAGCCGACCUGAGAAGGUGAUCGGCCACAAUGGGACUGAGACACGGCCCAUACUCGUACGGGAGGCAGCAGUAGGGAGUUUUCGGCAAUGGGGGGAACCCUGACCGAGCAACGCCGCGUGAAUGAAGAAGGUCUUCGGAUCGUAAAGUUCUGUUGUAGUUAGGGAAAGCCUGGAAGAGUGGAAAGCUUUCAGUUUGACCCGACUACCAGAAAGCCACGGCUAACUACGUGCCAGCAGCCGCGGUAAUAAGUAGGUGGCAAGCGUUAUCCGGAAUUAUUGGGCGUAAAGAGUGAGCAGGCGGCCGUUUAAGUCUGAAGUCAAAUGCAGUGGCUCAACCACUGUCCGCUUUGGAAACUGGAUGGCUAGAGUACGAGAGAAGUAUGCGGAAUUCCAUGUGUAGCGGUGAAAUGCGUAGAUAUAUGGAGGAACACCAGAGGCGAAGGCGGCAUACUAGAUCGAUACUGACGGUCAGUCACGAAAGCGUGGGUAGCAAAUAGGAUUAGAUACCCUAGUAGUCCACGCCGUAAACGAUGAGAACUAGGUGUAGGGG